RNAcentral lists this ribosomal RNA (498 nucleotides) under uncultured bacterium. Its description in RNAcentral is "partial 16S ribosomal RNA". It matches the Rfam family "Bacterial small subunit ribosomal RNA", at positions 30 to 523 of the family's 1533-position model. The record is from RNAcentral.
AUUGAACGCUGGCGGCAUGCCUUACACAUGCAAGUCGAACGGUAACGCGGGGCAACCUGGCGACGAGUGGCGAACGGGUGAGUAACGCAUCGGAACGUGCUCAAUCGUGGGGGAUAGCCCGGCGUAACCCGGAUUAAUACCGCAUACGACCCACGGGUGAAAGAAGGGACUCGCAAGACCUUGCGCUAAUGGAGCGGCCGAUGUCAGAUUAGGUUGUUGGUGGGGUAAAAGCCUACCAAGCCGACGAUCUGUAGCUGGUCUGAGAGGACGACCAGCCACACUGGGACUGAGACACGGCCCAGACUCCUACGGGAGGCAGCAGUGGGGAAUUUUGGACAAUGGGCGAAAGCCUGAUCCAGCCGUGCCGCGUGCGGGAUGAAGGCCUUCGGGUUGUAAACCGCUUUUGUUAGGGAAGAAAUCUUUUGAGCUAAUACCUCGGAAGGAUGACGGUACCUAAAGAAUAAGCACCGGCUAACUACGUGCCAGCAGCCGCAGUAA